UGGGGAAUAUUGCACAAUGGGCGCAAGCCUGAUGCAGCCAUGCCGCGUGUGUGAAGAAGGCCUUCGGGUUGUAAAGCACUUUUGUCCGGAAAGAAAUCCUUGGCUCUAAUACAGUCGGGGGAUGACGGUACCGGAAGAAUAAGCACCGGCUAACUACGUGCCAGCAGCCGCGGUAAUACGUAGGGUGCAAGCGUUAAUCGGAAUUACUGGGCGUAAAGCGUGCGCAGGCGGUUUGCUAAGACCGAUGUGAAAUCCCCGGGCUCAACCUGGGAACUGCAUUGGUGACUGGCAGGCUAGAGUAUGGCAGAGGGGGGUAGAAUUCCACGUGUAGCAGGUGAAAUGCGUAGAGAUGUGGAGGAAUACCGAUGGCGAAGGCAGCCCCCUGGGCCAAUACUGACGCUCAUGCACGAAAAGCGUGGGGAGCAAAACAGGAUUAGAUACCCUGGUAGUCCACGCCCUAAACGAUGUCAACUAGUUGUUGGGGAUUCAUUUCCUUAGUAACGUAGCUAACGCGUGAAGUUGACCGCCUGGGGAGUACGGUCGC
This 544-nucleotide ribosomal RNA is filed under the name uncultured bacterium. RNAcentral's name for it is "partial 16S ribosomal RNA". It matches the Rfam family "Bacterial small subunit ribosomal RNA", at positions 355 to 889 of the family's 1533-position model. The record is from RNAcentral.